This 45-nucleotide non-coding RNA is filed under the name Schistosoma mansoni. Lineage: Eukaryota; Metazoa; Platyhelminthes; Trematoda; Strigeidida; Schistosomatidae. The record is from RNAcentral.
AUCCAGCUGACGAGCCCCAAAUAGGACGAAAUGCACAUUCUGGAU